UAUAUGACUUUUCUAUUUUGAAAGUCCCUUCAACAAUAUGAAAGGUAAAUAAUCCAAUACUACCAUACAUACUAUGGCGUUUGUAAUAACUUCAGGUUGAGAAUAUGAAAAUCUUGAAAAGCUUUAAACAAACCUGAAUUUAUACAAAACCUAACCAAUGUAAAACAUGUAAAACUAAUAUCUUCUUUUUUUCUUUUUUUUUCUGAUACUAGGUUUUUGACCAACCCACUAGAAGGGUUUUAUGGAGUCGGGGGAGUCCAAAAACUAUAGAGACUCCAGUUGUAGAAGAACCAGCGACUAUAGCCUGGGAGUCAAAUGCUGGCAAGAGAUUAUUUUCGCCGGGUCCAUCUUUUGGAACCAUGGAAUCGUUCCUGGAUCUAGCUGUGUCAAUAGAAAGGCUUUAUCCAGAAAAAGAGAGAAUUGAGGCAGAGAAUCGCAAGCUAAAACAGAAAGUGACCAAGUUAAAACAAAAACUGAACAAUCGAAUAUGGAGGCUACCAGAUAUUAGUCGUCUACGACCAAGAACUAUUAAAAAGUAGUGUUGUCAAAUUGUACAGUUUUGACUAAGCGGUUACUGGGACAACCUUUCGACCGAUUAACCGGUUAACCGGUAGUUUAGUUCAUGUUCAAAGGGCUGGAGUUUCUCAUGGAAUUACUCUUCAAAUGCAUUGUUUAAUGAUACUAUGAAUUAAAGUGUGUCCGUAGGUAUUAUAAGCCUUGGCUUUGAGCUUUCCUGGUGAAAUUUGUUUUUACUUUCCUAAAUAAAACAAAUGCUAAUUACAUGUAUACGAAGAAGUUAAAUGUAUAGUACAUUUUUGUCAAUAUAUGACUUUUCUAUUUUGAAAGUCCCUUCAACAAUAUGAAAGGUAAAUAAUCAAAUACUACCAUACAUACUAUGGCGUUUGUAAUAACUUCAGGUUGAGAAUAUGAAAAUCUUGAU
Mytilus trossulus (common blue mussel) is the source of this 940-nucleotide long non-coding RNA. RefSeq lists it as uncharacterized. NCBI's taxonomy places the organism in Eukaryota, Metazoa, Mollusca, Bivalvia, Mytilida, Mytilidae. The record is from RefSeq and is a predicted model, not a curated record. The transcript is spliced from 3 exons.